Molecule: ribosomal RNA, 700 nt
Filed under: Vibrio vulnificus
Lineage: Bacteria; Pseudomonadati; Pseudomonadota; Gammaproteobacteria; Vibrionales; Vibrionaceae
Description: bacterial SSU rRNA
Rfam family: Bacterial small subunit ribosomal RNA
Source: RNAcentral
ACCGGCUAACUCCGUGCCAGCAGCCGCGGUAAUACGGAGGGUGCGAGCGUUAAUCGGAAUUACUGGGCGUAAAGCGCAUGCAGGUGGUUUGUUAAGUCAGAUGUGAAAGCCCGGGGCUCAACCUCGGAAUUGCAUUUGAAACUGGCAGACUAGAGUACUGUAGAGGGGGGUAGAAUUUCAGGUGUAGCGGUGAAAUGCGUAGAGAUCUGAAGGAAUACCGGUGGCGAAGGCGGCCCCCUGGACAGAUACUGACACUCAGAUGCGAAAGCGUGGGGAGCAAACAGGAUUAGAUACCCUGGUAGUCCACGCCGUAAACGAUGUCUACUUGGAGGUUGUGGCCUUGAGCCGUGGCUUUCGGAGCUAACGCGUUAAGUAGACCGCCUGGGGAGUACGGUCGCAAGAUUAAAACUCAAAUGAAUUGACGGGGGCCCGCACAAGCGGUGGAGCAUGUGGUUUAAUUCGAUGCAACGCGAAGAACCUUACCUACUCUUGACAUCCAGAGAACUUUCCAGAGAUGGAUUGGUGCCUUCGGGAACUCUGAGACAGGUGCUGCAUGGCUGUCGUCAGCUCGUGUUGUGAAAUGUUGGGUUAAGUCCCGCAACGAGCGCAACCCUUAUCCUUGUUUGCCAGCGAGUAAUGUCGGGAACUCCAGGGAGACUGCCGGUGAUAAACCGGAGGAAGGUGGGGACGACGUCAAGUC